UACGGAGGGUGCAAGCGUUGCUCGGAAUCACUGGGCGUAAAGCGUCCGCAGGCGGCCUGACACGUCGGAUGUGAAAGCCCUGGGCUCAACUCAGGAACAGCAUUCGAAACUGGCAGGCUUGAGUACGGGAGAGGGGGGUGGAAUUCCUGGUGUAGGGGUGAAAUUCGUUGAUAUCAGGAGGAACACCGGCGGCGAAGGCGGCCCCCUGGCCCGCAACUGACGCUCAUGGUCGAAAGCGUGGGGAGCAAACAGG
This 253-nucleotide ribosomal RNA is filed under the name uncultured bacterium. RNAcentral describes it as "partial 16S ribosomal RNA". It matches the Rfam family "Bacterial small subunit ribosomal RNA", at positions 524 to 776 of the family's 1533-position model. The record is from RNAcentral.